Non-coding RNA from Vicugna pacos (alpaca), 137 nucleotides. The record is from RefSeq and is a predicted model, not a curated record. Lineage: Eukaryota; Metazoa; Chordata; Mammalia; Artiodactyla; Camelidae.
CAUUUAAAACAAACAAACACUGGGGGUUCGAAACUGGUAGAUACUCACAGGCAUAUGCAGAGCAGGUAAACAAGAUUAUACUGUGCAGCACAGGGAAAUAUAUACAACAUCUUGCAGUAGCUCACGGUGAAAAAGAA